CCUACGGGAGGCAGCAGUGGGGAAUAUUGCACAAUGGGCGCAAGCCUGAUGCAGCCAUGCCGCGUGUGUGAAGAAGGCCUUCGGGUUGUAAAGCACUUUCAGCGGGGAGGAAGGCGGUGAGGUUAAUAACCUCAUCGAUUGACGUUACCCGCAGAAGAAGCACCGGCUAACUCCGUGCCAGCAGCCGCGGUAAUACGGAGGGUGCAAGCGUUAAUCGGAAUUACUGGGCGUAAAGCGCACGCAGGCGGUCUGUCAAGUCGGAUGUGAAAUCCCCGGGCUCAACCUGGGAACUGCAUUCGAAACUGGCAGGCUAGAGUCUUGUAGAGGGGGGUAGAAUUCCAGGUGUAGCGGUGAAACGCGUAGAGAUCUGGAGGAAUACCGGUGGCGAAGGCGGCCCCCUGGACAAAGACUGACGCUCAGGUGCGAAAGCGUGGGGAGCAAACAGGAUUAGAUACCCCUGUAGUC
This 465-nucleotide ribosomal RNA is filed under the name uncultured Klebsiella sp. RNAcentral's name for it is "bacterial SSU rRNA". It matches the Rfam family "Bacterial small subunit ribosomal RNA", at positions 338 to 795 of the family's 1533-position model. The record is from RNAcentral. Lineage: Bacteria; Pseudomonadati; Pseudomonadota; Gammaproteobacteria; Enterobacterales; Enterobacteriaceae.